This 23-nucleotide unclassified non-coding RNA is filed under the name Mus musculus (house mouse). RNAcentral describes it as "oocyte_clustered_small_RNA8787". Lineage: Eukaryota; Metazoa; Chordata; Mammalia; Rodentia; Muridae. The record is from RNAcentral.
UAGCAGGAAGUCUACCAAGGUAU